AUGGUGGCCACAAGCCCACAACUCUCUCACUCUCUCCUCAAGCCGCCCCUCCUGUUCGUCCCCACCGCCGGCGCGAGGUCUCGCACUCUUCCCACUCUUCUCAGCCCCUCCUCUUCGAAUCGGUCGCCGAAGUGCCCGAGGAUCCGCUCGAGCUCGGUAUGGUCGCUGGGCGCCGGACGAAGGCCGACGCGGAGGCGCGGGACUUGCCUCCACCAGAUCGGCGGCUGUGGCAAUCAUGUGUCGCAACCUCCGCGGCUGAUGCCUUCCUUUCCAUCUCGCUCGUCGGCGGCUCCCACCACCCUGUGCGUGCGACUGCGCUGCGCCGUGCAAUGCCCAUGUGCGGCAGCAGUGCCGCGGUGA
This 360-nucleotide ribosomal RNA is filed under the name Triticum aestivum (bread wheat). RNAcentral's name for it is "partial small subunit ribosomal RNA". The record is from RNAcentral. Lineage: Eukaryota; Viridiplantae; Streptophyta; Magnoliopsida; Poales; Poaceae.